Non-coding RNA from Delphinapterus leucas (beluga whale), 1614 nucleotides. NCBI's taxonomy places the organism in Eukaryota, Metazoa, Chordata, Mammalia, Artiodactyla, Monodontidae. The record is from RefSeq and is a predicted model, not a curated record.
GCUGAGUUGGCAGAGGGUAGUGAGCGUCGGUGGCCGAGGCAGAGUUGGAGCCGGAGGAGAAUGAUGAAUGGAAUCGCGGGAACUUCGCAUAUUGACAGUCGCGAGCGGGUUCUCAAAUUAGGGGAGAGUUUUGAGAAGCAGCCGCGCUGCGCCUUCCACACUGUGCGCUAUGACUUCAAACCUGCUUCUAUUGACACUUCUUGUGAAGGAGAGCUUGAAGUCGGCAAAGGUGAACAGGUGACAAUUACUCUACCAAAUAUAGAAGGUUCAACUACACCAGUAACUGUUUUCAAAGGUUCAAAGAAACCUUACUUAAAAGAAUGCAUCUUGAUUAUUAACCAUGAUACUGGGGAAUGUCGACUAGAAAAACUCAGCAGCAACAUCACUGUAAAAAAAACAAGAGUUGAAGGAAGCAGUAAAAUUCAGUAUCGUAUAGAGCAGCAGCAGCAACAAAUGCGGAAUUCAACUAGGACUCCCAAUCUUGUAAAACAUUCUCCAUCGGAAGACAAGAUGUCCCCAGCAUCUCCGAUGGAUGAUAUUGAAAGAGAACUGAAGGCAGAAGCUAGUCUAAUGGACCAGAUGAGUAGUUGUGAUAGUUCAUCAGAUUCCAAAAGUUCAUCAUCUUCAAGCAGUAAGGAUAGUUCUAGUGAUUCAGAAGAUGAAGAGUGCAGAUCCUCUCCUUCUGAUCCAGGGAAUUAUGUCUCAGAACAUCCUACCAUGUCUACCAUGCCACAGUGCAGGAUUCCUGACAUAGUGGCUGGUCAUAAUAAACUUCAUGACAGCAAUGGCCUCCUGAUGAAUACUUUAAUCCCCCUUUUCACAGUAGCCUGGCAGCUGUCCCAACUGCCUACCGAAGCCAAAUGCUUGAAGAGAGAGAGAGUAAGGAGCCAGCCAUGAAUCUCUUCCAGAAAAAUGAGUUCAAGGAAACUCCUUUUUUACCUGUCUCCCCUGAAGAGGUACCACCUCGACCCCCCAGCUUUCCAAAGAAGCCAUCUCCGAAAAUCUGUGGCUCCAACUAUCCACUGAGUAUUGUCUUCAUUGUGGUGAAUGAAUUCUGUGAGCGCUUUUCCUAUUAUGGCAUGAAAGCUGUGCUGACCCUGUAUUUCCUGUAUUUCCUGCACUGGAGUGAAGACACUUCCACAUCUGUAUACCAUGCCUUCAGCAGCCUCUGUUAUUUCACUCCCAUCCUGGGAGCAGCCAUUGCUGACUCAUGGUUGGGAAAAUUCAAGACAAUCAUCUAUCUCUCCUUGGUGUAUGUGCUUGGCCAUGUGAUCAAGUCCAUGGGUGCCUUACCAAUACUGGGGGGACAAAUGUUACACACAGUCCUAUCAAUGGUCGGCUUGAGUCUAAUAGCUUUGGGGACAGGAGGUAUCAAACCCUGUGUGGCAGCUUUUGGUGGAGACCAGUUUGAAGAAAAACAUGCAGAGGAACGGACUAGGUACUUCUCAGUCUUCUACCUCUCCAUCAAUGCAGGGAGCUUGAUUUCUACAUUUGUCACACCCAUGCUGAGAGGAGAUGUGCAAUGUUUUGGGAAAGACUGCUAUGCAUUGGCUUUUGGAGUUCCAGGAUUGCUUAUGGUGAUAGCUCUUGUUGUGUUUGCAAUGGGAAGCAAAA